Molecule: ribosomal RNA, 264 nt
Filed under: uncultured bacterium
Lineage: Bacteria
Description: partial 16S ribosomal RNA
Rfam family: Bacterial small subunit ribosomal RNA
Source: RNAcentral
GUCAACGCCCUAAACGAUGUAGACUGGUUGUUGGGGUUUGACACUCUCAGUAACGAAGCUAACGCGUGAAGUAGACCGCCUGGGGAGUACGGCCGCAAGGUUAAAACUCAAAGGAAUUGACGGGGACCCGCACAAGCGGUGGAUUAUGUGGAUUAAUUCGAUGCAACGCGAAAAACAUUACCUACCCUUGACAUGUCCGAGAGCCCGUAGAGAUAUGGGUGUGCCCGAAAGGGAAUCGGAACACAGGUGCUGCAUGGCUGUCGU